Drosophila pseudoobscura is the source of this 1487-nucleotide long non-coding RNA. RefSeq lists it as uncharacterized. The record is from RefSeq and is a predicted model, not a curated record. The transcript has 2 exons. NCBI's taxonomy places the organism in Eukaryota, Metazoa, Arthropoda, Insecta, Diptera, Drosophilidae.
UUACUGGGGAUAUAAGGAAGAGAAUAGGAUUAGUUAUAUGUAUUAGUAAGGGAAAAAGGGAUAAAUAGGAGUGAAAAGAUUAGAAAACGUGGAUUGGGUUAUGAAAAUCGUGGAGCGUGGACGGAGUCACGUCGAGAUCCGAAAUUUUGUGAAUAAAACAAACAGUUUGAAUUUGAACCGGCAAGGAAUACAGCCACUAGAACCGGGCCGGAAGAUUUCCUGGAGAGGAAAACUGGAGUCCGAGAAAGUCGACUGCAGAGAAGAAGACGAUACAACGGGACCUGAGUGAGUUCGUUCCAGUUGCGCGUGUGUGAGCCAAGUAGCGCGGGACGUGUGAAGGGGGGGGGUGAAAGAGGUCGAGUGAGCGGCCAGGGCGAUUCUAGCCACACCGCACGACCGUUGCAUCGCCGUCCAGUGCGUGCCACACGUUUGGGCUCUUUUACCAAGUGAAAACCUCGAAAUCCUAUUCACACACACACACACGCGCACACGUAUACACGAACCUAGAUAAAUUUAGGGCUGACCGGCCACGGCCUGCGAUCAGCGAGCCCACGUUAUUGAACUUAAAGAAAAACAAAUAAUCCGCACUCCAAACACCGUUCCACUGUAAAUGUUAUUUUGUGCCGUGUGUUGUCCUUUAUUCUGUAUUUAGUAUAAGCUUAAAACGUUUAACGUAAAAUCUUGGCCAGUGAAAAAAAAUAUGUAUGUAAAAACACCAACACCUUUCACAAACGUAAAUCUGCGAUCAGCUGGUCAACGCCAGAAGAUUAACCCUUAGCGGGUGACGCGGGGGUCCCAUCAGUCCACCGUAUUUGGUCGAGUGAAUUGUGGAAAAUAUUGUUUAUGUCCCGGGGACCCUUAACAAGAGCUCUUGGUAGGUCAGGUCUCCGUAGGGGCCCGAGUUGAAUUAACUCCCGUAAGACGGAUCCAGUCCCCACUCACCUACACAUAGUCCAGUACGAAUGGGUGAGGGUAUCCCUGUAGGUUAAACGAAAUUGCAGCAGUUAUUUCCGUGUUUGUCUUUGUGUCGAACGUUUUGGUGUUUCUUUUUGGUUAGGGAUAAUUUUGAGUAUAGCUAUUUAUUAAUAAGAAAUAUGAAGUUGUCAAUUUAUAAUUAUUAAAGCUUGGAUAUAGACUGAAGUAUGAUGCGUUAAAUUUAAAAUAGAGGGAGGACGCGUGGCGUAAGCCAUGGAUUAGGCCAGCCGUUACCGUUCCAGCAGAGGGUGGCCAAAAUGAACGUUGUGUUUGGUCACAGGUAGGGCGGGCGCGCGAAGUGGUAACACCCAAGCUUCACCCACUUGAUAGCCGUCUGUUUAUGAUUUUCUUUGUUGUUGUUAGGUUGUUGUUAGUUCUGAUGUCCCGAGAAGUAGUAUGUCUCCUUUUUUGUCUACAUUUGGCGGGCAAGGGGAACUACCCAGCCCUGGGGUCGACAGCUAGCCGGCAUUGCCCUCUGGGAAACAAGCUAAAUGUAACAAAUGGCGCCCAAU